UACACUCCUGCGGGAGGCAGCAGUGGGGAAUUUUGGACAAUGGGCGAAAGCCUGAUCCAGCAAUGCCGCGUGUGUGAAGAAGGCCUUCGGGUUGUAAAGCACUUUUGUCCGGAAAGAAAUCCUUGGCUCUAAUACAGUCGGGGGAUGACGGUACCGGAAGAAUAAGCACCGGCUAACUACGUGCCAGCAGCCGCGGUAAUACGUAGGGUGCGAGCGUUAAUCGGAAUUACUGGGCGUAAAGCGUGCGCAGGCGGUUUGCUAAGACCGAUGUGAAAUCCCCGGGCUCAACCUGGGAACUGCAUUGGUGACUGGCAGGCUAGAGUAUGGCAGAGGGGGGUAGAAUUCCACGUGUAGCAGUGAAAUGCGUAGAGAUGUGGAGGAAUACCGAUGGCGAAGGCAGCCCCCUGGGCCAAUACUGACGCUCAUGCACGAAAGCGUGGGGAGCAAACAGGAUUAGAAACCCCAGUAGUCCCAUGAU
RNAcentral lists this ribosomal RNA (478 nucleotides) under uncultured organism. RNAcentral describes it as "partial 16S ribosomal RNA". It matches the Rfam family "Bacterial small subunit ribosomal RNA", at positions 332 to 801 of the family's 1533-position model. The record is from RNAcentral.